CUAAAAAUGGCGCCGGAGAAUAAGGCAGACGUUUUACUUGUUCCCAACCGAUUGUGUUUUUUGUUAGUUUAUUUGCGUUUUUUUGUAACUUAUUUUGUACAUAAUGUUGCCUCUACCGUCUCUUAUGACUGAAAAUAACUUCUGGACAUCAGGACUGUGAUUACCUACCACGGACUGGCAGAAUCCUUUGUUCCCUUUAACGAGUCUGACGAGCCCGAUGCGACAAAAAAUAUACUGCUUUCUCGGGAACAGGCCCAGAUCCCGGUGAUUUGCGUGAAGAGGAGGCGGAGAAAAAGGGGCCAAAGGGCGGGCUGCCUUCUGAGAAUUCGUAGGUGAUCGAAUAAAUUCUCACUUCCUUCCAUUCUGCUAGCAAACGUGCAAUCUUUGUAGAAUAAAAUAGAUAACCUACGCGCAAGAUUAAACUACCAACGGGACAUUCAAAACUGUAAUAUGUUAUGCUUCACGGAGUCGUGGCUGAACGACGACACUAUCAACAUACAGCUGGCUGGUUAUACGCUGUACCGGCAGGAUAGAACAGCGGCAUCUGUGACCAUACGUACAUACCCCAACCAGAAUCCAUGGAUUACAGGCAACAUCCGCACUGAGCUAAAGGCUAGAGCUGCCGCUUUCAAGGAGCGAGACUCUAACCUGGAAGCAUAUAUGAAAUUCCGCUAUGCCCUCUGACGAACCAUCAAACAGGCAAAGCAUCAAUACAGGACUAAGAUCAAAUUGUACUACACUGGCUUUGAUGCUCGUUGAAUAUGGGAGGGUUUGCAAAACAUUACAGACUACAAAGGGAAGCACAGCCGAGAGCUGCCCAGUGACACGAGCAUAACAGACGAGCUAUACUACUUCUAUGCUUGCUUCAAGGCAAAUGGCACUGAAACAUGCAUGAGAGCACCAGCUGUUCCAGAAGACUGUGUAACUGCACUCCACACUGCCCUUUCCCACCUGGAUGGAACACCUAUGUGAGAAUCCUAUUCAUUGACUACAGCUCAGCUUUCAACACCAUAGUGCCCUCAAAGCUAAGGACCCUGGGAUCAAUAAGCUAAGGACCCUGGGACUCAACACCUCCCUCUGCAACUGGAUCCUGGACUUCCUGACGGGCCGCCCACAGGUGGUAAGGGUAGGUAACAACACAUCCGCCACACUGAUCCUCAACACAGGGCCCCUCAGGGGUGCGUGCUCAGCCCCCUCCUGUAUUCCCUGUUCACUCAUGACUGCACGGCCAGGCACGACUCCAACACCAUCAUUAAGUUUGCCGAUGACACAACAGUGGUAGGCCUGAUCACUGACAACAACGAGACAGCCUCAGAGACCUGGCCGUGUGGUGCCAGGACAACAACCUCUCCCUCAACGUGAUCAAAACGAAGGAGAUGACUGUGGACUACAGGAAAAGGAGGACCGUGCAUGCCCCCAUUCUCAUUGACGGGGCUGCAGUGGAGCAGUUUGAGAGCUUCAAGUUCCUUGGUGUCCACAUCACCAAAAAACG
RNAcentral lists this long non-coding RNA (1492 nucleotides) under Salmo salar (Atlantic salmon). Its description in RNAcentral is "lncRNA (ENSSSAG00000121220.1)". The record is from RNAcentral. Lineage: Eukaryota; Metazoa; Chordata; Actinopteri; Salmoniformes; Salmonidae.